GACGCCUCGCUCAAUUUCUCACAGGGCUGCGCAGGUUUCCCCCUUCUGCGAAUGGACCACUGGAGGGGUUCAAAGGUUCGCGUCCCAGUACGGGAAUGAGCCUCUUUGAUCUCUUCCGGGGCUUUUUCGGCUUUCCUGGACCUCGGAGCCACAGAGAUCCCUUUUUUGGAGGGAUGACUCGAGAUGAAGAUGAUGAUGAGGAAGAAGAGGAAGAAGGGGGCUCAUGGGGCCGUGGGAACCCAAGGUUCCAUAGUCCUCAGCACCCCCCUGAGGAAUUUGGCUUCGGCUUCAGCUUCAGCCCAGGAGGAGGGAUACGUUUCCACGAUAACUUCGGCUUUGAUGACCUAGUACGAGAUUUCGAUAGCAUCUUCAGCGAUAUGGGGGCCUGGACCUUGCCUUCCCAUCCUCCUGGUGUGUGGCUUCCCCUAAGGGGCAACCUGUGGUUUCUGGUGGGUUGGUGGGUGAAAUAAAGAGCCUGCAGGGAGUAGCUGGGGGAUGGGAAGUGUGAGAAGACUGAUGAUUUCAGGGAGAUUAAUAGAGCCCAAGUCCUUUCCCAUCCCAGCAAACACCUGCCACCUUUCUGCAGAACUUCCAGGUCCUGAGUCAGAGACACCUGGUGAGAGACUACGGGAGGGACAGACACUUCGGGACUCAAUGCUUAAGUAUCCAGAUAGUCACCAGCCCAGGAUCUUUGGGGGGGUCUUGGAGAGUGAUGCAAGAAGUGAAUCCCCCCAACCAGCACCAGACUGGGGCUCCCAGAGGCCAUUUCAUAGGUUUGAUGAUGUAUGGCCUAUGGACCCCCAUCCUAGAACCAGAGAGGACAAUGAUCUUGAUUCCCAGGUUUCCCAGGAGGGUCUUGGCCCGGUUCUACAGCCCCAGCCCAAAUCCUAUUUCAAGAGCAUCUCUGUGACCAAGAUCACUAAACCAGAUGGGAUAGUGGAGGAGCGCCGGACUGUGGUGGACAGUGAGGGCCGGACAGAGACUACAGUAACCCGACACGAAGCAGAUAGCAGUCCUAGGGGUGAUCCAGAAUCACCAAGACCUCCAGCCCUGGAUGAUGCCUUUUCCAUCCUGGACUUAUUCCUAGGACGUUGGUUCCGGUCCCGGUAGCCUUGUUAACCCUCAGAGGCCUUCAAGUCCUUUCCACCUCUCACCCAUUGCCCACCAUUAAUAAGCUUAGCUUCUCCUCUUGCCACCUCAGGGGCUUGGAUAUGUGGAAUAGUGAACUGGGGGCAUGUCAGUUUGUCACUCACCCAAACUGACCAAUAAAACCUUUAUUUAUGCUAA
Molecule: small RNA, 1287 nt
Filed under: Pan troglodytes (chimpanzee)
Lineage: Eukaryota; Metazoa; Chordata; Mammalia; Primates; Hominidae
Description: retained intron
Source: RNAcentral